This 370-nucleotide ribosomal RNA is filed under the name uncultured bacterium. RNAcentral's name for it is "bacterial SSU rRNA". It matches the Rfam family "Bacterial small subunit ribosomal RNA", at positions 30 to 412 of the family's 1533-position model. The record is from RNAcentral.
AUUGAACGCUGGCGGCAGGCUUAACACAUGCAAGUCGAGCGGAGACUUCGGUCUUAGCGGCGAACGGGUGAGGAAUGCCUGGGAAUCUGCCUGUUAGUGGGGGAUAACGAAUCGAAAGGUUCGCUAAUACCGCAUACGUCCUACGGGAGAAAGCAGGGGACCUUCGGGCCUUGCGCUAACAGAUGAGCCCAGGUCGGAUUAGCUAGUAGGUGGGGUAAAGGCUCACCUAGGCGACGAUCCGUAGCUGGUCUGAGAGGAUGAUCAGCCACACUGGAACUGAGACACGGUCCAGACUCCUACGGGAGGCAGCAGUGGGGAAUAUUGGACAAUGGGCGAAAGCCUGAUCCAGCCAUGCCGCGUGUGUGAAGAA